Molecule: unclassified non-coding RNA, 253 nt
Filed under: uncultured Bryobacterales bacterium
Lineage: Bacteria; Pseudomonadati; Acidobacteriota; Terriglobia; Bryobacterales
Description: contains 16S-23S intergenic spacer region
Rfam family: Bacterial small subunit ribosomal RNA
Source: RNAcentral
UACGUAGGCAGCAAGCGUUGUUCGGAAUUACUGGGCGUAAAGCGAGUGUAGGCGGUUUGCCGUGUCUGCUGUGAAAUCUCCCGGCUCAACUGGGAGGGUGCGGCGGAAACUGGCAGGCUAGAGUGCGGAAGAGGAAAGUGGAAUUCCUGGUGUAGCGGUGAAAUGCGUAGAUAUCAGGAGGAACACCUGUGGUGAAGACGGCUUUCUGGACCGCCACUGACGCUGAGACUCGAAAGCGUGGGGAGCAAACAGG